Molecule: long non-coding RNA, 202 nt
Organism: Lolium rigidum
Lineage: Eukaryota; Viridiplantae; Streptophyta; Magnoliopsida; Poales; Poaceae
Exons: 3
Source: RefSeq, a predicted model, not a curated record
CCAAGGCGUAUCAUUGCAAGAGUUCUAAGUGAGACCGAUCUCCCAUCACAAAGUGGAAUGAAACACCCCAUAGACAUGAUGGGUGAAUCCACUGUUAAAAACAGGUGGCCAGUGCCUAAGCCAUAUUGGUACCAUGAAUUGUUUGAUGUUCAUCGUCCUCUGCGCGGGUUUGGUGGAAGGCAACUCCAGUAAACGUCAUCGU